CUAAGCGUCUUUCUCCCCCUUCGUAAGGCCAUCGCGUCCACCAACGCACGUCUUACAUCCGCCCAGUACAGUGCCGUUGAAGCUGUGACGAGUAAUAUGAACGCUUAAGUAAUUCAUGAACAUCCGCUGCGUUUGCCUAGCAUUGUCGUAAAGGAGGUCGCGUCGGCAUCAGGCCAUCAACGUUGCGCCCAGGACAACACUUGCUGCAGCCAAGAAACAGAAAGUAUAUCUCUAUUCGUUCAUCCCCUUGGUCUUAGGGUUGCCCCUAAGACGACGUAGAUACCACCUCCUGACACCGCCGUACCGGAAAGCACUUUUCCGGUACGGGCAGAGCCAGCAGCAUUCCAGGUUCAGAAUUGAACCCAGAGGCAGAAAUCACCAUUCUGAGAGUUGAACGUCGCCAUCCAUGAUUUAGACAUACCAUUCCAUGGCCUGUGCAUGCGCGUCCGUGUCCUUCACUACAUUGCUGCUUGCGGCCAAGAAACAAGUGAUGCAAAACGUUGCCUCAUGUCCAUCCGUCCGGUCCACACACGUAAGAGCAAUUUUCCAUAACACGGAUGUAAGCACCGUUCGGGAUGUCCGUCGUGUUUGCCUCAGGAAGUCGUCCUCCCGGCGGCGGAUCGGACCCUAAGCACCGGCCGGUACCAGCUGGUACCAGCUCCUGGAGCCGCUUAAUCGAUGCUGAUCGUGAUGUGUAAUUGGUCCAGCAUAAAGCACAUUCUUCAUCAUCCGGAAGGGAUCCCUUAGCCGUAGUACAUGUAAAGGAUGCGCAGGACAAGCAGUGUAAGAGGUACUCGGAAAAGAACGCAAAAAAGACUGUUCCGUCCAAAUAGCUAACAAGCUGUACCUUGGCGGAUUGCAGGGCGCUUCUAACAUACAUGCCAUCCUUUGGAAGUCAUGUUGUAGGCUUGUCCUGUUUGGUUUAUGUUGGCAUUGCAUUAAGAAGUUCAACGUGAUACCUGCAGGUUAACUGUUUACUGAUAACUACUUAUUCGGCGGCGUGCGCAUAUCAUUCCCUUACUUCGCCGGCAGGUCCAUGGAAAGUCCCCGAAAAGAUUACAUAACGUUGCAAAACUCCUUUCAGUGCUUUCGGAAAAGAGGUCCUAGAUCUUGAGACCCUGGUAAGCCAGAAAUCGCUGACGGCUAGCGCUGUAAGCGUACCUUUUCCAUCUCCUGUAUUUUCAAAGCAUACACACGCGCGAUACUUAAGAAUACGAAAAUUUUAAACAGUUUAACAGUUCAUGUGGAAGCGUUUGCGGUGCAACUGGCGCGAACAGGACACCAGAGGUCACAGGAAUUACAGCUCUUAUGACUACUAGCAGUAUGUGUGCGUGGUUGUUACAGCAGUAGAUCUUAGGGACGAGGGGUACCUGACGGCAAUGCAUGGGCUCCAUCGAUGCAUGUGCCUCGGCAUGAAGGGUGAAUACAAUACGUUUCAUAUGCACAGACCUCAUAGUUUGCAGCAUUUAAGGGAGGUCAAAUNNNNNNNNNNNNNNNNNNNNNNNNNNNNNNNNNNNNNNNNNNNNNNNNNNUUGCCUAGCAGUGUCGUAAAGGAGGUCGCGUCGGCAUCAGCCCAUCAACGUUGCGCCCAGGACAACACUUGCUGCAGCCAAGAAACAGAAAGUGUAUAUGUAUUCGUUCAUCCCCUUGGUCUUAGGGUUGCCCCUCAGACGACGUAGAUACCACCUCCUGGCACCGCCGUACCGGAAAGCACUUUUCCGGUACGGGCAGAGCCAGCAGCAUUCCAGGUUCAGAAUUGAACCCAAAGGCAGAAAUCACCAUUCUGAGAGUUGAACGUCGCCAUCCAUGAUUUAGACAUACCAUUCCAUGGCCUGUGCAUGCGCGUCCGUGUCCUUCACUACGUUGCCAUCACGUCCACCAACGCACACUUGACAUCCGUCCUGUCCGGAGCCGUCGUCGCGAGCUUCGACAACAUGAAUGUAAGCAACAUUCGGAACAUCCGUCCUGUUUGCAUGGGAUUGUCGUCCUCCCGCCGGCGGAAAAGCCACUCAACGUAUUGCUUAAGAAUUCCUACCCAAGCCUAUAACACAAACAUAAUAACAUUGUCCUAGCAUUCCAUAGCCCUACUUGACUUGCCUACAAGUCCACAGCAACGAGUUGCCCCGGUCGGACCCUCCAAGUCUAGCCCAGUAGCUUACUGUGGGCUGACGUUAGUGAACAUGGAAUGCAAGCUGUGUGUGUGCUCAUCCCCUUUGAAAAAGGUUCGACUACGACUUGACACACAGACUCCCUCCUGCAACAAAUGCCCAUUUUCUGUACGAGCGUGACGAGCAACAUAAGAGAUCCAGAACCGACCACACCGGCAGAAUUCAUCGUUCAGUUCCUUAAACCUUCAUUUACGGUUUCCCUACAAACAGCUCCAUGCCUUGGAUAUGCGUCUGUUUUCUUCCUUACGAACAUCACAUUUUACGUUCGUCAGGGCAGAGUCUUUGUAGCAAUCUUUCAUAUUCAGCACGCAAUGAACCCUUCAUGGACACCAGCUGCAUUAGCCUGGCUUGUCGUCCUUGCGGCAGCCUGGGCAAAUGGCCCAACGCGAUUUAAGUAUGCUGCUGCUUGCGGCCAAGAAACAAGCAUUCCAAAACUGUCAUAUCAUCCCCUGGUUUCGUUGUAUUUGGUUUGCAUACAAGUCGACGCGGAUACUACCUGCUGUGACCGCCGUAUCAGAAGACACUUUUCCUGUACGGGCGGAACCAACAACAGCGAAGUUCAAAAAACCCGACUAGUAGCUAAAAGUCAGCAUUCAUAGAGUUAAACGUCCCCGUCUGUGACUUGUACAUAACAAUCCAAGCAUCUCCUAAGCGUCUUUCUCCCCCUUCGUAAGGCCAUCGCGUCCACCAACGCACGUCUUACAUCCGCCCAGUACAGUGCCGUUGAAGCUGUGACGAGUAAUAUGAACGCUUAAGUAAUUCAUGAACAUCCGCUGCGUUUGCCUAGCAUUGUCGUAAAGGAGGUCGCGUCGGCAUCAGGCCAUCAACGUUGCGCCCAGGACAACACUUGCUGCAGCCAAGAAACAGAAANNNNNNNNNNNNNNNNNNNNNNNNNNNNNNNNNNNNNNNNNNNNNNNNNNGUUUAAGAUUUUGUUCCGUGGCAGUCCAACAACACGUCUACAUGCUAUUCUUCUGAAGCUGGAUGUGUUACGACCUUCGUAGCACUUAGGGCGCCUGCCGGUGAACGAGGAAUGUUUGCGAAAUUUUGCGAAGCUACGCAGGCGACGGGCGGGCCCCGCACUGGGUACGGAUGGAGCACUGGAAGUCCAGCCAUGAAAUACCAACAGGAUAGCUUUUCGAGAUUUUUCUUUUUAACAAAUUCUAUUACACAGAACAAAUGAUGCGGAUACAUGCCGCAUAAUCCAUGGGAUGCCAUAAGCAGGUCUCCGAUCAUUACCCUGCUGGCAAGAAGUCACCUUUCAUAUUACACGAAUAUUAUGUACAAAUAUAGGAUUGAAGUGCACUGCAGAAGGGCAGCAGAGUUUAUUUGACAUGUUGCACAUGCAAUGUCAUCUGGGCCAGAGGCAUUACAGCAAAGAUUUGGCAUAAUGGUCUGUGUUUGCAAAAUGGUUAUGCAAGCAUAGAAAGCAUUAUUGCUAAUAGGGUGAGCCGUAUCAGAUCUAAGUACGUUCCCCGAACAAACGGGAUGCGCAAUCGACGUUAGACUUUCAGAACCGAGCGAAAAGACAGAAAUCCCUGCUCCGAAUAUUAACGCUUACAGUCCAUCAUCCUUACUUAGCGUUCCAUGCACCGCGGAGCUAACUCUUCAUCCGUUUCCUUCCUUACAAUGCACAUCCGUCAGGGCCAGAGUCUUUGUGGCAAUCUUUCAUAUUCAGCACGCAAUGAACCCUUCAUGGACACCAGCUGCAUUAGCCUGGCUUGUCGUCCUUGCGGCAGCCUGGGCAAAUGGCCCAACGCGAUUUAAGUAUGCUGCUGCUUGCGGCCAAGAAACAAGCAUUUCCAAAACUGUCAUUUAAUCCCCUGGUUUCGUUGUAUUUGGUUUGCAUACAAGUCGACGCGGAUACUACCUGCUGUGACCGCCGUAUCAGAAGACACUUUUCCUGUACGGGCGGAACCAACAACAGCGAAGUUCAAAAAACCCGACUAGUAGCUAAAAGUCAGCAUUCAUAGAGUUAAACGUCCCCGUCCGUGACUUGUACAUAACAAUCCAAGCAUCUCCUAAGCGUCUUUCUCCCCCUUCGUAAGGCCAUCGCGUCCACCAACGCACGUCUUACAUCCGCCCAGUACAGUGCCGUUGAAGCUGCGACGAGUAAUAUGAACGCUUAAGUAAUUCAUGAACAUCCGCUGCGUUUGCCUAGCAGUGUCGUAAAGGAGGUCGCGUCGGCAUCAGGCCAUCAACGUUGCGCCCAGGACAACACUUGCUGCAGCCAAGAAACCCUAAGUAUAUCUCUAUGCGUUCAUCCCCUUAGUCUUAGGGUUGCCCCUAAGACGACGUAGAUACCACCUCCUGACACCGCCGUACCGGAAAGCACUUUUCCGGUACGGGCAGAGCCAGCAGCAUUCCAGGUUCAGAAUUGAACCCAAAGGCAGAAAUCACCAUUCUGAGAGUUGAACGUCGCCAUCCAUGAUUUAGACAUACCAUUCCAUGGCCUGUGCAUGCGCGUCCGUGUCCUUCACUACGUUGCCAUCACGUCCACCAACGCACACUUGACAUCCGUCCUGUCCAGAGCCGUCGUCGCGAGCUUCGACAACAUGAAUGUAAGCAACAUUCGGAACAUCCGUCCUG
Molecule: long non-coding RNA, 4755 nt
Filed under: Volvox carteri
Lineage: Eukaryota; Viridiplantae; Chlorophyta; Chlorophyceae; Chlamydomonadales; Volvocaceae
Description: long non-coding RNA (VCAR_LNC000573)
Source: RNAcentral